Molecule: ribosomal RNA, 416 nt
Filed under: Fusobacterium periodonticum
Lineage: Bacteria; Fusobacteriati; Fusobacteriota; Fusobacteriia; Fusobacteriales; Fusobacteriaceae
Description: bacterial SSU rRNA
Rfam family: Bacterial small subunit ribosomal RNA
Source: RNAcentral
GAUGAACGCUGACAGAAUGCUUAACACAUGCAAGUCUACUUGAACUUCGGUUUGGGUGGCGGACGGGUGAGUAACGCGUAAAGAACUUGCCUCACAGUUAGGGACAACAUUUGGAAACGAAUGCUAAUACCUGAUAUUAUGAUUUUAGGGCAUCCUAAGAUUAUGAAAGCUAUAUGCGCUGUGAGAGAGCUUUGCGUCCCAUUAGCUAGUUGGAGAGGUAACGGCUCACCAAGGCGAUGAUGGGUAGCCGGCCUGAGAGGGUGAACGGCCACAAGGGGACUGAGACACGGCCCUUACUCCUACGGGAGGCAGCAGUGGGGAAUAUUGGACAAUGGACCAAAAGUCUGAUCCAGCAAUUCUGUGUGCACGAUGACGUUUUUCGGAAUGUAAAGUGCUUUCAGUUGGGAAGAAAAAAA